Molecule: ribosomal RNA, 492 nt
Filed under: uncultured bacterium
Lineage: Bacteria
Description: partial 16S ribosomal RNA
Rfam family: Bacterial small subunit ribosomal RNA
Source: RNAcentral
AGUGAACGCUGGCGGUAGGCCUAACACAUGCAAGUCGAACGGCAGCACAGUAAGAGCUUGCUCUUACGGGUGGCGAGUGGCGGGCGGGGGAGGGGUACAUCGGAAUCUACUUUUUCGUGGGGGAUAACGUAGGGAAACUUACGCUAAUACCGCAGACGACCUACGGGUGAAAGCAUCGGAUCUUCGGACCUUGCGCGAUUGAAUGAGCCGAUGUCGGAUUAGCUAGUUGGCGGGGUAAAGGCCCACCAAGGCGACGAUCCGUAGCUGGUCUGAGAGGAUGAUCAGCCACACUGGAACUGAGACACGGUCCAGACUCCUACGGGAGGCAGCAGUGGGGAAUAUUGGACAAUGGGCGCAAGCCUGAUCCAGCCAUGCCGCGUGGGUGAAGAAGGUCUUCGGAUUGUAAAGCCCUUUUAUUGGGAAAGAAAAGCAGCAAGUUAAUACCUCGCUGUUUUGACGUUACCAAAAGAAUAAGCACCGGCUAACUUCGUG